RNAcentral lists this ribosomal RNA (208 nucleotides) under uncultured bacterium. RNAcentral's name for it is "partial 16S ribosomal RNA". It matches the Rfam family "Bacterial small subunit ribosomal RNA", at positions 568 to 774 of the family's 1533-position model. The record is from RNAcentral.
UGCGUAGGCGGGUUUUUAAGUCAGAGGUGAAAGCCUGGAGCUCAACUCCAGAACUGCCUUUGAUACUGGAAGUCUUGAGUAUGGCAGAGGUGAGUGGAACUGCGAGUGUAGAGGUGAAAUUCGUAGAUAUUCGCAAGAACACCAGUGGCGAAGGCGGCUCACUGGGCCAUUACUGACGCUGAGGCACGAAAGCGUGGGGGAGCAAACA